This 406-nucleotide ribosomal RNA is filed under the name uncultured bacterium. RNAcentral describes it as "partial 16S ribosomal RNA". It matches the Rfam family "Bacterial small subunit ribosomal RNA", at positions 28 to 526 of the family's 1533-position model. The record is from RNAcentral.
GUUGAACGCUGGCGGCAGGCCUAAUACAUGCAAGUCGAACGAGUGGCGGACGGGUGUGUCAUGUCUGGGAAACUGCCCGAAGGAGGGGGAUAACUACUGGAAACGGUAGUUAAUACCGCAUACCAUCGGAUGUGCCCAGAUGGGAUUGGCCAGUGGGUGGGGGAACGGCUCACCUAGGCAACGAUCCCUAGCUGGUCUGAGAGGAUGACCAGCCACACUGGAACUGAGACACGGUCCAGACUCCUACGGGAGGCAGCAGUGGGGAAUAUUGCACAAUGGGCGCAAGCCUGAGGCAGCCAUGCCGCGUGUAUGAAGAAGGCCUUCGGGUUGUAAAGUACUUUCAGCGAGGAGGCGUUACUCGCAGAAUAAGCACCGGCUAACUACGUGCCAGCCGCCGCGGUAAUAC